Molecule: ribosomal RNA, 408 nt
Filed under: uncultured bacterium
Lineage: Bacteria
Description: partial 16S ribosomal RNA
Rfam family: Bacterial small subunit ribosomal RNA
Source: RNAcentral
GACGAACGCUGGCGGCGUGCUUAACACAUGCAAGUCGAACGAAGUGGCGAACGGGUGAGUAAUACGUGGGUAACCUGCCCUCUUUUUUGGGCUAAGCCUUGGAAACGGGGUCUAAUACCGAAUAAAGGGGGAUGGGCCCGCGGCCUAUCAGCUUGUUGGUGGGGUGAUGGCCUACCAAGGCGGUGACGGGUCGCCGGCCUGAGAGGGUGACCGGGCACAUUGGAACUGAGAUACGGCCCAGACUCCUACGGGAAGCAGCAGUGGGGGAGAUUGCAGAAUGGGCGAAAGCCUGAUGCAGCGACGCCGCGUGGGAGAUGAAGGCUUUCGGGUUGUAAACCUCUUACGCUAUCGAACGGGUAGGUUGAGAAGGAGCGCCGGCUAACUACGUGCCAGCGGCCGCGGUAAUUC